RNAcentral lists this ribosomal RNA (333 nucleotides) under uncultured Bacillota bacterium. Its description in RNAcentral is "bacterial SSU rRNA". It matches the Rfam family "Bacterial small subunit ribosomal RNA", at positions 28 to 351 of the family's 1533-position model. Lineage: Bacteria; Bacillati; Bacillota. The record is from RNAcentral.
GAUGAACGCUGGCGGCGUGCCUAACACAUGCAAGUCGAGCGGAGAUUUACGGAGUACUUGUACGAAGUAGAUUUUAGCGGCGGACGGGUGAGUAACACGUGAGCAAUCUGCCUUCAGCUGGGGAAUAACAUUGUGAAACAGUGCUAAUACCGCAUGACAUCCGACCGGGGCAUCCCGGACGGAUCAAAGGAGAAAUCCGGCAGAAGAUGAGCUCGCGUCCGAUUAGGUAGUUGGUGAGGUAAAGGCUCACCAAGCCGACGAUCGGUAGCCGAACUGAGAGGUUGAUCGGCCACAUUGGGACUGAGACACGGCCCAGACUCCUACGGGUGGCUG